This 450-nucleotide ribosomal RNA is filed under the name uncultured bacterium. Its description in RNAcentral is "partial 16S ribosomal RNA". It matches the Rfam family "Bacterial small subunit ribosomal RNA", at positions 354 to 796 of the family's 1533-position model. The record is from RNAcentral.
GUGGGGAAUUUUGGACAAUGGGCGCAAGCCUGAUCCAGCAAUGCCGCGUGCAGGAAGAAGGCCUUCGGGUUGUAAACUGCUUUUGUACGGAACGAAACGGCUCUGGUUAAUACCCGGGGCUAAUGACGGUACCGUAAGAAUAAGCACCGGCUAACUACGUGCCAGCAGCCGCGGUAAUACGUAGGGUGCAAGCGUUAAUCGGAAUUACUGGGCGUAAAGCGUGCGCAGGCGGUUUUGUAAGACAGGCGUGAAAUCCCCGGGCUCAACCUGGGAAUGGCGCUUGUGACUGCAAAGCUGGAGUGCGGCAGAGGGGGAUGGAAUUCCGCGUGUAGCAGUGAAAUGCGUAGAUAUGCGGAGGAACACCGAUGGCGAAGGCAAUCCCCUGGGCCUGUACUGACGCUCAUGCACGAAAGCGUGGGGAGCAAACAGGAUUAGAAACCCGUGUAGUCC